This 405-nucleotide long non-coding RNA is filed under the name Marmota monax (woodchuck). Lineage: Eukaryota; Metazoa; Chordata; Mammalia; Rodentia; Sciuridae. The record is from RNAcentral.
UUGUAGAAAAAUUUAAAACUACAGAAAAGCCAGGUGUGGUGGCAUGUGCCUGUAAUGUCAUCUACUCAGGAGGCUGCGGCCGGGGAAUUGAAGACCCACCUGGGCAGCCUAGUGAGACCCACAACUCAGAAAAAUAGAUUAAUAAACAAAUAAAUAAUGAAACAGCAGAAAUCUAAAAGGAAGAGAAGGAAAUUACCCCUAGUAAAAGCAGAAAAAUUUAAAAAUUGAAAUCAGAAUUCCCCAAACAAAUAAACCAAAGCAAUCAUCCCUGUUCCCACAUUUGGAGAGGAGGGCACAGGUCCGAGGGCCACCUUCCAUGCCCAUCACUUCCCGCCCUCACAUCUGCUCCUGGGGCUGGCUGUUGCUUGACAGCAGGACCCAGUGUCCCCGGGGCGUUGGGUCAGG